RNAcentral lists this long non-coding RNA (9380 nucleotides) under Homo sapiens (human). RNAcentral describes it as "HSALNT0317193". The stretch from base 2830 to 2946 matches the Rfam family "Metazoan signal recognition particle RNA". The record is from RNAcentral. Lineage: Eukaryota; Metazoa; Chordata; Mammalia; Primates; Hominidae.
AGAGCACUCCUAACCCCCCGGGGCAAGGAGGGGAGGCCAGGCAGCCGGAAGGAAACUCCUGAGCUUUUUACGGAAUGCACAAGACAAAAGAUGGAGUUUUGCUCUUGUUUCCCAGGCUGGAGUGCAGUGGCACGAUCUUGGCUCACUGCAACCUCUGCCUCCCGGGUUCAAGCAACUCUCCUGCCUCAGCCUCCUGAGUAACUGGGAUUACAGGUGCCUGCCAUCACGCCCAGCUGAUUUUUGUAUUUUUAGUAGAGUUGGGGUUUCACCAUGUUGGCCAGGCUGGUCUCAAACUCCUGACCUCAGGUGAUCCGCCCGCCUCGGCCUCCCAAAGUGCUGGGAUUACAGUCGUGAGCCACCACGCCCAGCCUGAUCAUUCUUUUCAGACUCCAACAUAAAGUCAUUUUUCUGGUUCCUCUUAUUUCAAAUUUAAAAUGCUAAUGCCUGAGGAAAACUGUUUGAAUCUUGCAUGCGAUCCUACAAGGUUCUGUGUGUUAGUCCACGCCUCCACGUUAACUGAGCAGUGACUACCCGAAAGGCACUGGGGUGGACAUCGAGGACAAAGCAGUCAAUCUGACAGCUUCUUGCACUCAGGUGCUCAGAGUCAAGGAAGGUGACGCCGGCCCACCGAGGCUUGGAUUCGGCUUAUGUGGAGGAGGGGCAGGGGUGGUGGUGAAGUCUUCUUAGCUAAGACCGUGAAAUCUCAGGUGGGUCUUAAAGUACACGAUUUAGACUUUGUUAGGGAGACAAGGCUAUUAUGGGCAAAGGAACACUGUUGGGAAAAGCAAGGGAUUAUAAGAAUAAUGCUGUGUUUAGAGAUCAAAGAGCAGCUGGGGGUAAGUGAAUGUAGUAGAGGGGGUAGGAGCAGAGAGAGGAGGAGCGAUUGGGAAGUCGCCUCUGUCAUAAGGAGCCUUGGGCAUCAUGUGCAGAAGUGUGGACCUUGUUGAUGAAAAUCAGUGAUCUCUGCAAACCCCUCACUUCACCAUGACCUUUCUGUAGGGCUUCCCUGCCCACUGAUGGAUUCAUCAUCUCAUUGUGCGAUGCUCUGAAAGACCUGCAUAAGUUUGUGUUUUGGAAAAAUCCUUCAGGCUGCAACUUGGAGAACAAACAGAAACAGCAAUAGGCCAGUCACAAGGAAAUGCACUCAGACAAUUUUGCAAUAAUCCGGUUGAGAACUGUGUCUAUGAAACCAGCUGCAUCUGUCUCAUAGAGUGCAUGUCGGUACUGCCCUGCCACAGCCUGUGACGUGGAGCUUCACCUGGAGCCCAGACAACCUCUGCCUUGACUCCUGGUCUUUGUGGUCACUCAUCACCACCCUUAUCAGAACUCAUGUUGUUUAGAGAGGCCUUGACUGCAAUUUUAUCGCCCAGAUGGUCUGGAGCAUUCCCUUCGGUACACACAUGCCAGAGAAAUGGCAGGAUAUAUGAAGUAUGGCCUCAGGUCACCGGUGGAUGAAAUGCUUAGAGGGAAACAGGUUCUCUGUGUCUCAGCUGAGUUCGGGUCAGGCUUACCAUUUCUGGAUGUCAAAUGCGGUCCUUAUUGCCAUCCUUGUGUGAUGGGAUGGAUCAGUGGGGCUAGGGAGGCCUGCCUGUGUUAAUGUGAACACAAAGGCUUCCUGUUCAUGGCGUGGGAUGGCUUCGGACAUGUUUCUGCAGGUUUUUUGGCUGUACCUUGGUAGGUUCCUAUAUUACCUCACCCAGCCGAACAUCUGCUGGUGCCAUCCUGAGGGGUGCUAGAAGCUCCCGUGUACUCUGCAGGCUUCUACCUCCGAGAGACCAAGACCUGCCUCUGGACUUUGCCUCCAAAGGUUUAAAGCAGUUUUUGCCUGCAUGUCCUAGACGUUCAGUAGAAAAAGAUCUCCUCGUGCUCCAGCACCUUUGGGGAAACCAGAGGCUCCACAAUGCUCAGCAGUUUAAUUUACUGCAGGUCUUCUCAACAUCUUUAAUUCACAAUAUAUAUUGUGAAUCUGCAAGAAGGGGUAAGAGGGUGAAUAGUCCAUUUCCCACACCCAUUUGACCACGGAACUUCCUCCACUUCUGGCCUUGGUAGAGGCUCCUCCCCUGGGGAAGAGGAAGCACAGCUAAGGGCCCAGCCUCGCCUGGAGGAGAUGCUGAAGGGCAGCCAAGCUUGGUCUCCUAGACUUUAGGGGUAGGCGGGUGGUUCGGGAUAAGGAUCAGCAAUGUCUGGAUUUGCCUAGGGCAGUCCGAGCUCACACAGGUUGCCCCAGUAUAAUUAUAAUAAACUCCCUCUUUUUUCUCUCCAAAGGGUCCUGGUUUGGGGCAUCAAUUCUAUGAUCCUGGCCAUAGUCACCGCAGACCUAGGGUCCCGCCACUUGGCAUUUUGAAGCCCAAAGAGCAGCUCAUUGUUAGACUCUGCCCCUGCCCAUAACAUAGUCUGAUGUCAUCCUUUAACUCACCACUUGCUCCCUGACAACCUCUGAUAUUUGUCACUGGGUCCCAGAUUCUUUCCCCUUUAUUCAGCCACCAUAUUCAGCCUGGCAAAAUGCCUCACCUUUUCAAAAAUAAUUCUGCAAGGGGUUGGCAGGAAAUCGGUGCCCCUAAGACCCACAAACCUUUUGCGGUAGGUGUCUCUUCACAAUGCCUCAAGUCACAGCUUUUCUGGGCCUCCUCAGUGUGUGAACUUUUGGAGGCCUGUUGCCGAAUUGUUUGCCUGCAUCAUUCUUUCUCCUUGUUCUCUUGUCUCUUUUUAUUCCUGCUACCGAAACAGCCACCUUCCUGCUGUCAGAUGCUCCGAAGGAAUUUGUGUUGGAAAAUAUCAGGAAACCAUCCUGAUUUAGGGGAUGAGAGAAAUAAAAGAGGAAAAAGGCCAGCUGGGUGUGGUGGCUCACACCUGUAAUCCCAGAACUUUGGGAGGCUGAGGCAGGUGGAUCACCUGAGGUCAGGAGUUUGAGACCAGCCUGACCAACAUGGUGAAACCCUGUCUCUACUAAAAAUACAAAAAUUAACUGGGCAUGGUGGUGGGCACCUGUAAUCCCAGCUACUCGGGAGGCUGAGGCAGGAGAAUUGCUUGAACCCGGGAGGCAGAGGUUGCAGUGAGCCAAGAUCAGCCAUUGCACUCCAGCCUAGGCAACAAGAGUUAAACUCCGUCUCAAAAAAAAAAAAAAAAAAGAAAAGAAAAGAAAAGAAAAGGGCCAAGCAGGCAAGAAACCAAUAGAUGGUAAAUUAGGGAGAUCACAGAAUCCACUGAGAAAAAUAAGAGAAUUACAAAUUUAAAAAAAAUUUCAAAGGGGUAAGUAAUAGCCUAUUGAAUUUGACUUCAACUAUUGUUCACUUUUUUAAAAGUACUUCUGUUGGUAAAUUAACUUUCAAAAUGUCCGUGGUUGGCUUUCCAAAAUUCUUCAGUUGGAAACUCAAAGUAGAAAGAAGAUUCAUUGAAGAAAUGCUUUUCUUUUUAUUUGACACGAGUAAAUGGUGAGAAUUAUCUUCAAUAUUUGCAAAAGCCUCAAAAAAUCACCAGUGAAAAACACAAAAGGAAACUAGUAUCAAGUAUUUAGGAUCUCUUUUUUAUUAUAGACUGUUUUGGAUGUAAAUCCUACACACCCAAGUCUUACCUGGUUUUAAAUGUCCCCGGCAAUAGAGUUGCCACAUUUUCUUCACGGAUAUUUUGUUUAAUGUUCUUAAGUAUGUCCAGGACAGACUCCUAACUCCCUCUUUCUCUCCAAACAAACAAAAAAGAAACUAUUUUGUCUUUUAAAUUUAAUCUACUAAAAAAUUACUCAAGCUCUAAAUCUUAAAAAGUAACUGUCCCUUUUAAGAACCAUUUUGUACUUUUUUCCACCCCUCCUCAGCUGUAUAGCUUUGCUUUGCCUUCUUUAGAGGAUGUGGAAGAAGUAUUUUUUCCUCUUGAUUCUUUUGAAAGUAUGGGUUUGUUUGGCUUUAAUACUGUCAUUUAGGCGUUUCUUAUAUGUAUGUGUUUAUGGUAGUUUCAAAUUGUCCUUCAAACUAUAAUUUUCAGCUCAUUCACCUGUUGUAGAGUCUUCACGAUGAUUUUUCUCUGACCAAACUAAAUAAGAAUCAGACCAGAACCCAAGCUCAACAAAUCCAAGACAACUGAGCACAUUGGCUAGUUUCAUUAUCUAUGCGUCCCUCUGGUUCUCAGAAGAUAACUGACUAAAGUUUCUUUCCUACUGUUUCUUUUUUUAAAAAAAUAUACCUAUGCACAUCAACGAAUAUCAGUAUUUCAAGUUUUGUUUCAAAAGAUGCUUCAACUCCAUUAUGUAAAUCAUGACUUAAAAAUGUAAAAGAAAUAUUUGUACAUAGACAUUCAAAUCAAACCCUGAUUCCACAAGCUCCUCCUUAUUUUGUUGACUUUAUUUUUAAGAGGGAAGGCCAUUUAAUUAAAAAAAUUCUCCUUUACUUUCCUUGUUUCCCUGCUCCCUUCCCCCACCCCUCCGAUUGUCUCCUAGGACCAGGAAGUUUAUAUGUAAACAGAAGCCGUAAUCAGACCCCUGACCUCCUCCGGGCUUUCAACCCAAUGUUUCCACAGAGGGAUUAACCCCAAAUACCAACUUGCUCUCAGAGGCAAAAUUGUUCCCCAGGCGGGUAUCUCCAAAGGUUUUUCUUCUCUCUAGGCUUUCUCAUUCACCCUGCAAAUAAGUCUCCUCAAAGGGAGGCUUAAAGGCAGCCGCUGGAAAGCAAAUUGCCGGGCAGGCUGGAGCCAGAACGAGGCUGAGAAUUCUCUGGACCCUCAAGGCCCUUACUCCAUCCUCCCCGAGUUGGCCGAGUGGUUGUGUUGCCUUCCAGAUGCAUGGGUGCUAUGGGAAAGAGCCAGGUUGCUGGGUGUGUGUGUGUGUGUGUAUGCACGCACGUGCACACCUGCUUUUGGGUUUACACACUGGGAGUCUCAUGGACGGCUGGGCCUCAUCUGGGCUGCCUGGGCAUCUCAGGGAUGCUGGCAGGGAGGGGCUUUGGGAGUGGAUAGGUAUUCGUGUUCCCCUCUCAGGGGAGACAGGAGCAAUAGCACUGGCCUGUUGUACAAAACCACAGCUGUGCGCCUACAAGGCAAAUGUUUGCAAGUCUUUCUGUUUUAUUCUUCGCUGCAGGUCUUGUAAUGUCCACUCAGGAGGGAAUGCUUUGAACCGGGCAUCAAGCUCUGGGCCGGAUUCCAAGUCAGUCUAAAAACAGUCUGAGCUCCCCGCUCCCCCGACGCCCGGACAACCCCGGUCCCCUACUUGCUGGGCAGAAUGGAUAAAAAAGUGGGUUCUCCCUUCUGCCUGCCCCUCCCUCCUGUCGGGUCCUCACACUGCCUGAACAGCCCUGUGCUAAGCCAAGGCACGGACCAGACCAGGAGAUUUUCUUAUGGCAGAACAUCUUCUCCCCAUCUGGACCCCAGUGCUUUCUCACCAGAGAGACAAAGUAUUCAUAUUUUAAAGGCUCCACGUAGCAUGUCCAGAAAUUUCCCAUGUUCUUCAGCAGGGUAGGGGUGGGGAAAGGGCCCAAUGAGGCUACGGACUUAAUAGCUCCUAACAGCUGUGGAAAGUUUGAUGCAGCAGGAGCACCCAGACAGAAAAUUAAAAAACUAAUAAAGUCCUCAGUGUGGGGGCGCUGGCAUCAGGACAGCUUUACUUCUCCAGACACCUAAUAAAGAGACAUUCCGGGACACUAACUCAUAAGGGAAAUCCGCAGGGGUCACCGAGAACAGUGGAGAGCAAACCAUGGAAACACAGCAGUCACUCACAUCACUGCAGGGAAGUUUCGUUUGCUUCUCCUCUUUUUUCCCCCUUUUCUUCAGUUUAGAAAAAUGGCAGGGUGCUCAGGACCCAAAGAAAUACCACAAAAAGGGGUGAUUCCAGAAGUCCUGGAUGUAGAAACCUCACGUUCAUGGGCAGAAUAAGCGUGAGGCUGAUGUUUGACACUUCCGGUGAUGGUGGCUGCAGAGGGCAUUGAGAUGGGAAGGUGGUUUGGCUUCAGGAGGUAGCAGAAAAAGGGGGUUUUGAGAAUUGAGGUUUAUCCACCUGGAUUUUGUGAAGUACCAUCCUUACAGUGGGUUUUCUUUUGUGGAUUCUCCCACUGGGGAUACUUGGUCAUUUUGGAUCUGAGUUUCUUGUGGUCUGCUAGGUGAUGGGUUGCUGGUUGAGACUUUUGGUUUUGAGGGGCAUUUAUGUUAUUUUGACUUGGUUCUCAAGUUUGGCUGUCUAUUUGAAGAAAAAAUAAAUGGUGACUUUGGGCAUUCAGCCAAACCAUUCAUAGUCAGUUGUGGAGAGACUCCGUUGAGUUGGUGGUGCUUGUCUUCUCACACAGAUAAUGUACGGGUGUAAAAGAUGGAAGGAACGAAGCAGCCAGUUAAGAAAAGAGAAUAAAAAGUGGGGAAUAAGACAGAUAAAGCAUCUGCAGUGUUGAGUUCAGUUCAAGUUUUUGAGAGAAGCUCAGGUUAUUUAUCACUUUCUGCCCAUUAUUCCAGCUAAUUUGUAGUCUGGAGACCAGCAGUCAAACCUGUUCCUUGACAUUACCUGUCCACAGCAGUGUUUGCAACUGAGUAAUGUCACACUUGCUCUAGAAGAAUAUAGUUUCAUAUUGUGCAAAUUAGUGAAACGGCUUUUGCAUAUUGAUCUUAAGAGAAUCCUUGUAUAGAUUCUCUGAGGUCUCGUGGUGUGAGGGCAAGAGAACGGGAGACAGGAGAUCUGGGCCCAAUCCCAGCCAGCACUGCCACUAACGGGACUGGGUUGCUUGAACAAGUCACUUGCCCUGCACGACUCAGUUUCUUGUUCUGUAGGAUGAAGGGAGUGAGACAUAACUUCUAAGGCCUCUGGCUGCUUCCACACACUGUGAGUCCCUGAGGUUGGAAGGUUGGUCUCUGCACUGGAGUUCCUGGCUCUCCUGUGUUAGAAAGAGUGUUUUCUCCUGGCUUUCCAUUCAGUUGCGGCUUGGCAGAGGCAAAGCUGCAGUCUUUGGGUGUGUUGCAGGAGAGGUCUGUGGUUUUGUGAGCAAAAUGAAAUAUGGGCUUUUGAACUUCUCAAGUUCAGCAACCCUUUUCUGGCCUUUACUGUUUCUCUCUGGGUUUCUUUCUGUCUCUCUGUUUUCAUUAAAAAAGUUUUUUUUUUCCUCCAUGAGAAUAGUCCCAUAUUUUAAAAAAGAGCAAUGUUUCUGUGGGGUGGGAAUAGGCUACCUUCUAGUAGGGAACACUCCCUGAGGGAGGCCUGGGAGGUUGUGGCUCAAUCUGAAAGGAUCUCGACCAGUGCUUCGUAAAAUUUGCAGCGCAUGAGAAUCACUUGAGCAUCUUGUUAAAUGUGGAUUCUGGCUGAGUAGGUUUGGGUGGGACAUGAGUUCUGCAUUUCCAGCGAGCCCCCACGUGAUGCUCGCUCAUGGACCACACUUUUAUUACCAAGGCUAGAUGAUCCCAAGUCAGGCCUCCCCUGAGCUCCUGUAGAGUGGAGAACUCACAGGAUGGGGACACUGUAACCAGGUUCUUCAGCCUGGGGCUCUUCAGGCCUCUAGGUUCAGCCUCAGCCUAGAAUGAACCUGCAGUCAGCUCUUAACAUAGGGAAUCUUAUCCCCUGGAAGGCUGGGCUGUCAUAAACUGGCUGGGAAUCAGACUCUAUGGAGGUUCUUACUUUUGCUGUCUGACCCUCGAAUGGUUUUCUUUUUUCUUUUUUUCCUUUCUUUUUCUUCCCCUGGCUUUGGGAGAAGAAAAAUUGGACUGUGGGGUAAAGAAGAACAAUGCCUCAAUUAGCUAGAAAGCUACAGUAUUGAAUUAAAUGAGCCCCAUGCUAUGGCUCAUUAACAACAUCCUAUUACUUAGCAAGUCUAUAACUAGUGUUUCAGCUAAAGAAAGAAAUGUAAAUCAUUUAAUACACCUUUCCUAAUUGAGCUGUGCACCAGGGGCACCCUCCUAAUGGUAUUAUGGCACCAAUUACCUCAUCAGAAGAGAAGAGCUGCUUUUAUGACAGGUUUUGGAAAUUAAAAUGGCAGAGAGAUGUCUUUUAGGAGGAGUAAUUCUGGGCUGGGCUGUGCUGAGCAACGAGCAGGGGCUGAAAGGGCACGUGGGGCCCGGGUGCUAAAGGCGGGACGGUGACCCCUGUCUGGUCUGACCCCCAUCUUGGGGAUGAGAUCUGAACUUAGUCUUUUCAUACUGUCUGGUCAAGAAUGUGAGCCACAGUGGCUCUUGUACUUCAGUGUGUAUAAAAUCCACUGGGGAAGCUUGUUAGAAAUUUAGAUUCCAGGGCCCCACCCUGAGAUUCUGACCCAGGAAGUCUGGGCUGGGCUCCAGCCAAACCAUACUUGUAAUAAGACCUCUGGGAAACUCCCUUGCAGAAAGCUGAAAGACACUGUUUCGAGAAACAUAGCAGAGAAGGUCCCAAUGAUUUCCACCAAAACCCAACUACGUGUCUGCAGGUUCCUCUAUUACUAGGGGUUUUACCCGUCCCAAAGACCGGAUUGAAUGAGACUUAUUUUGGUUUGCUUCUUCAGACACAGCACAGCUACCUUCCUCCUUUUCUCUCUGCUUAGCCUGCUUUGGUUGGUACAUGGGGUAGAGCAGUGGGGCAAACGGGGAUGACUGUUUGCUUGGGUGUUCACUCUCUGUGUGAUGUCGGGCAGGGCAUUGUACGCUUGGGGCUGCAGUUUCCGCACCUCAAAAUGUGCAUGGUCAGGUAAAGGGUAUGAACACGUUAUUGAUCAAGACACUUUGUCUUUUUUGCGACUCAGUUUUCCUUAUCUAUAAGAUGAGAAUGUUGCGCUUUAUGAAUUUGGCGAGUGUAAAUAGGAACUGAGAUUCUCUUUCUGGCAGCUUUUCAUGGUUUCCUUUCUGUGGCAAGGAAAGGAAGAACUUCAACCUCCAGAUUUUGUGUAAAUAUUGAAUCUAUAGCAAUGGUUUUGUGGAGUGUUCCAGUUUCCUAGGCUGAUGAUUAAUGUGGUUUUCUCUGUGAGUGUUGAGCCUUCUCAAAAGGCUUUUCCUGCUAUUCCUGUGAAAUGCACAAAGGCAAAGUGUUAGUCCUGCUUUUUUCUCUAUUGCCAUGUGGAAGGGGGAGCAGAUGCAUUCUGCAUUCCUCACAGGGCAGAAGACAUGUCAGCUGACAGACGUGGGGAGGCAAAACUGGCCUUAAUCUGAUAUGAAUUUCCUGACAAUUACAAUGACCUCCCUGAUCCCAGACCUUUGCUGGCUUUAUAUUGCCUAUCACAUCACACACAGACUUCCCUGUUUGGCCUGCCGUGUCCCCAUCAUUUGGCUUGAGCAGGCUUUGUUAAUCCUAUAUCCUCGAAGUAACUUGAAUUGUGGGGCUUUAACUCACUUUUAUUUAUUUAUUUAUUUAUUUAUUUAUUUAUUUAUUUAUUUAUUUUUAUUAUACUUUAAGUUCUAGGGUACAUGUGCACAACGUGCAGGUGUGUUACAUAUGUAUACAUGUGCCAUGUUGGUGUGCUGCA